GGCUUUGGAUUGAGUGACCCAGAACGGGAGCCGCCGGAGGGUGGGGUGGGGGUGGAAGGUUCGGGACAGGAUACUGUUUGACUCCUGUGCACUGGCGCGCUGACGUGCGGCGUAAUACAUCCGCUAGCCGCAUCUUUUCCGCGCGCUGUUGGGCUGUGGCGCGUAAGGGUCUCAAACCCACUUGGCGCGCAGCGUGGAGAGCGGCGGCUGCGGCCCGACAGCUCUUGGCCCAGCAAAAAGAUGAUCACGUGAAGGGAGACGCUUGUGCUCCUGUUGCUCACAAAAUAAUAGCCUAGUCUCGAAGGCUAGCGGAGUAGCUCGGUCUGAGUCAUACGCAACUGCUGAGUGUCUGGUCGCGAGCGCGAGAUGAGUACACAGGACGACUCAUGCUGCCGAACAGGCUCCAAAAGCAUCUCAUUUUCCUUGCCACAUCCGGGCUAAGGAGUGCAGAGGCUGGAGUUACGCCAUGGCAGGAAGCGGCCUAGAGACUUGGGAAAUCCAGAGAGGCCGCGCAGGUCUGCUUUUCUCAUCACCAGGCAGUCGCCCAAUGCUCCCAACACUCCUGGAGGAAGUGGCCGUGGAGACAGUGCUGUCAUUUCGGGCAAAGGUGGGGGGCGGGGGGCGGAGCAGGACCUGGGAAACCUUGGUAGUUGUAAGCGCAAGCUGCACCGAAGACUUCUCCGGAGGCGAGAGCGUGCACAGUCCGGAGAGCAUCAGUCUAAACUGCAUGUGCAGCUGUGGAGUAAAGGGGCAGGAUUUAGAAGCAGUAAGUUUGGAGACAUAUGUUCCUUCCUCCUGAGUGUGAGCCUCAGGGCCAGGUCCUUUCUGGAGGCUUAGGUGUAGCCAUAUUGUAAAACCACCCCUGCAAAGUCGGCCUUUGAGAGGACCCAGCAUUGGAACCCCUCAGGAAUUCUUGGUUUGGCCCAGUGACAAGGCAAAGCCAGCUAACGCCUGGUCACAGCUGAUUAGUAAGUGACCCGUGGCUGAGCUGAUUGCAUGUUCUAGGAUCGACCAGAGAAUGCUCUGGAGAAGGAACUACCGCCCUGCUUGCUAGUGGUCCCCCUUAAUGUAGGACAGCGGCAAACAAGGGCAGUUCCAGAGGCAGCGAGCCAGACACAACAACUUGGGAGUUUGGGAAUAGAGUCCUUUCUUUGAUAUUUGCAGCGAUGAGGAAUGGAGGCCAUGCCUCUGGGCAUGUCCAGGAAGGAUUUUCUAGUUUGGGCUAGGGUGGAAGGCCCACCCUAAUUUGGAUGUGACCAUUCCAUGGGCUGGGAUCCCUGACUGAAAUUAACUUAAAAGGAGAAAGGGCAUAGGUGUGGAAACCUGGCAGCACUUCAGAGGCUGAGGGAGGAGACUCUAGUUCAACCCCGGUCUGCGGAUACAUGAAACCCUGUCAAAUAACUUUUUAAAAAUUAAACUAGGCCAGGUGGUGGUGGCAAACCUUUAAUCUUGGUUCUUGGGAGGCAGAGGCAGGUGGAUCUCUGAGUUCAAAGCCAGCCUGGUCAACAAAGUAAGUUCCAGGACAGUCAAGGCUACAUAGAAAAACCCUGUCUCAGAAAAUAAAUAAAAAUCUUCCUGCUUCUUGACUUUAAUCCCAGCAGAUCUAAAUAUCAAUUUCCAUGUCAGCCAGAACUACAUUGAGAAACCCUGCGUUUUUUCUUUCUUUCUUUUUCUUUUUUCUUUUUUUUCUUUUUCUUGAGACUUUGUAACUAGGGCUGUCCAAGAAACCCUGUUUCAAAAAAAAAAAAAAGAAAGAAAGAAAAAGAAAAAUCCACAUGGGAGGUGGUUAAAGCAACUUGAGGAAGAAAGGGUUCAUAUAUGUGUGUGUGUGUGUGUGUGUGUGUGUGUGUGUAUACACACACCAGAAGAGGACAUCAGAUCCCAUUACAGAUGGUUGUGAGCCACCAUGUGGUUGCUGGGAUUUGAACACAGGACCUCUGGAAGAGCAGCCAGUGCUCUUAACCACUGAGCCAUCUCUCUAGUUUUCAGCUUUUAACGCCUGAUUUGAUAGUACAGUUCAUCACGUUCAUCACAGCAGCAGGCACAGUGGGGCACAGUGAGCCACAGUCAGAAGAGAUGAGGGGCUGAUUCCCAGCUUUUCUUAUUUAGUUCAUUCAGCGGUGCCACCCACACACAGAAUGGGUCUUCCCUCCUCAGUUCAAGCUUUUUGGAAACAUCCUCAGAGACACACCCAAAGGUCUGUAUGAGUUCACAGCGAUUCUAAAUCCAGUUACGUUCGGUUGGGUUUGCAUUGUUCUGCCGCAACAAUGAAAAAAGUAACCCUCUCUCCAUCUUCACCCUCACCCCCACCUUCACCAUCCUCCUCACCACGUGAGGAUGGAUAAAGUCGCCACAGAUCCUCAGUAUUGAUGACAGCCAUGUUCCGGCCUUGCCUGACUUGCUUGACCCACCCUGGUCGCACCAGACCUGCUCUCUGCCGAGCUACAAUGUCGAUACAGUUACAGAAUGAAUUGCAGGCCCUGCUCUUCUGCUGCUACAUCCCGGUGUCAUCCAUAAGAAACAGUGACAAGAAGUGAGUCUCUGCAGCACUCCCGCUGCCUUCAGAUGCAUUGCAUGAGAGAGCACAGCUUCCAUCCAUGUUUGCUAAACACAGCUUCCAUCCAUGUUGGCUGAACAGCCGGCCCCUCACCCUGCGGUUGCCAUGGCUCCUGGGUUCAUUCAAAGGGCUUCUCUGGGUCAAACCAACAUGCGGGGAAGGCGGGGGGCAGAGACUCUAGCCAUACAGCAGGUUAGCCAGGGAGCUGGGCCUUCACUCCGACUUCCAGCUCUCUCCCUGCUGCUCACCGUCACUGUCCCAGACAGCAAAGAGUAACUGACUCAGGAAAACAGGCUCGUGGAUGCCCUCGGGGACCUGCCCGCUGAGGAUCUCUUAGUCACCGGCAGGCAGCCAAGGAGGAGCCCUUUGUGGUCUUGGCUUUUCACUCAAGGUUUGUGGCCAAGUCUAGAAAGGCAGCUUUCACCUUCAACGAAGGUAUCUGGGUCUCAGUCAAGACUGAUCUACACUUGACUCCCUGUCUGCCAGACAACUAUGGAAUGCAUCGUGGACGGGAUAAAGCAGGAUGGAGAGGAAGACGCUCAUGCUCACCGCAUGUCAGGACUGGAGAGAUGGCUCAGCGGUUAAGAGCACUGACUGCUCUUCCAGAGGUCUUGAGUUCAAUUCCCAGCAACCACGUGGUGGCUCACAACCAUCUGUAAUGGGAUCCAAUGUCCCCUUCUGGUGUGUCUGAAGACAGCUACAGUCUUAUCAUGUAUAUAAAAUAAAUAAAUCUUUUUAAAAAAGAUUAUUCUUUCUAGGCACGCCUAGUGGUUUCUCUCUUGGGGGAUUCUGCAUUCUGUCAAGCUGACAAGUAACCAUUGAUUUCCUUGUGUGGGCAUCUAACAUUGCUCUGUUCAAUGGAGACAUGGUGCAAGCUGGGUGGUUUCAAGUUUUCAAGACCUUACAAAAAGUAGUAAGAAUCAGUUGGCAAUAAUUUUUUCAAACUUUUAUUUUGUUUUCAGUUGUGUUCUGGUUUUAUUUUUAUACGUGCACUGGUGUUUUGCUUGCAUGUAUGUCUGUACGAGGGUGUCAGGUCCCCUGGAAGAGGAGUUACAGAUAAUUGUGAACUGCCCUGUGGGUGCUGGGAAUUGAACCUGGGUCCUCUGGAAGAACAGCCAGAGCUCUUAACCACUGAGACAUCUUUCCAGUUUGGGUCCUUUACCUGUGUGUAUGUCUAUCACAUGCACGCACUGCCAGUGGAGGCCAGAAGAUAUCAGAUCCCCUGGGACUGUAAUUACAAAUAGCUGUGAGCUGCCGUUUGGGUGCUGGGGAUCAAACCCAAGUCCCCUGAAAGAGCAGCCAGUGUUCAUAACCACCGAGCCAUCUCUCCAGCACCAGGGCGCAGUACUUGCAAUAAUUACGUUCUGUCAGUUACGCCCUCCAAAUGUCUCUCGAAAUAAAAUAAAACAUUUAUUUAUGUAUUUGGUUUGUUUGAGACACAGUCUCUUCAUAGCCCUGGCUGUCCUGGAGCUCACGCUGCAGACAGGGCUGGCCUCAAACUCACAAGAGGUCCACCUGGCCUCUGCCUUUUUUUUUUUUUAAAGAUUUUUUUUUCUUUUCUUUUUUUUCGGAGCUGGGGACCAAACCCAGGGCCUUGUGCUUGCUAGGCAAGCACUCUUAAAGAUUUAUUUUUAUUUAUAUGAGUCCACUGUAGCUGUCUUCAGACUCACCAGAAGAGGGCAUUGGCUCCCAUUACAGAUGGUUGUGAGCUACCAUAUGAUUGCUGGGAUUUGAACUCAGGACCUCUGAAAGAGCAACCAGUACUCUUAACCGCUGAGCCAUCCCUCUAGCCCUGGCCUCUGCCUUAUAAGGGCUGGGAUUAAAGGUGUUUACCACCAUGCCUGGAUAAUACAAUUUUUUUUAAUGAGACAUUUUCCUUUAUUGCCAACCACCAAGCUCAUUGCCUUGAUCGUCCUCAGCCUCAGGACCAGCACCGUUAUCGUCCUGGUGAUGUUGACAGGUCCAUCUCUGCUGAUUGCAUGGCCUGUGGUAGAGGGCAGAUUCUCCCCUCAGGAUUCAGUUCCUCUCCUGUCUCUCCUGUUCUAGAUGGAGCAGUAGGACUUGGUGGAAGUAGGGCUUGGUGAGAAGCCUAGCAUAGACUCUGUCAACAGGAAAUGAAGACUUGUGACUGUCAGCCUAUAUGGCGAACCGUCCUGGCCACAGGUAGAGCCAUAAAAGUUCCAAGGCCACAGAGUCCUCCCUAGCUACACAGCCAGCAAACACCAUGACCCAGGGCCCCGAGGGCACAGCCGCUCCGUUUGGUGGAAGGUCGCACAGUCAUAGACUUGAUGAAGCAGGGCGUGUGGGGACCCUGCUUGAAGAGCACUGGUCAGCUGGGCUAAGCUACCCUCUGUCGUACCAGCUGCCUGCUACCCUCUGCUGCCCACCGAUGGCCACAUCAUUAGCCCUCCCUUCCUGGCAAAGGGUCUUUGAAUUAUUUGUAAGAACUCAAGAGAAUAUGCCUGAAUCGGUCUGAAUAACUCAGUAAAGCCCUGACCUCCAACAUUUCCCCAACCUGCACGGCUCAUUCUAGGAAGAAGCCAGGCCCCAUGCAUGAUGACACAAGCAGAUUCAUCCCAGGAUCCCUUCCCAACAGCCCCUCUGGGCUGCCAUUGCUUUGCCACUCCUCUGCCUAUGCCUUCAUUGUCCCUGGAGGAAGAGCAGACACUCCUGAAGGCCCAGGAGAUCUCACAGUGCGCCUCCCUCAGUACCAUGACCUAAACAGAAUACGAGGAGCCAUUUUGACCUUCCUCCUGAGGCUGGGGCGAAGGGGAGGGGACUGACAGUAGCAGCUGAAUCGUGUGGGGCAUGGGCAGGGGAAGCCACACAGAAGGUGGAAAGCACGAUAUGGCCACAUGGUGACCAGCACAGAGCCUUUAGGCCUUUGGAGAAGCCCUGCCUGUGGUAAGGAGAAAGAGACAGACACUUCUUAAGGAAAGAGGAAGAUCCUAGACCGUGGGAGGGACCUAAAUGGGCAGAUGGCAGACAGCAGGGGGCAGUGGUGGAUCCCACCUCUGAGAACACAUUCUGAUGUUCCCGACAGUCCAUCCCCAGCGAGGAAUCUAGGCGGGAAUUCUCAGCAUUCCUUCACCAAGCUGUGCCUGAGGCCUGAGAGGGAAUCUGUCUACCUCUCCUCAGGACUUAUUCCCCUUUCAGUUGUACCCCCACAGAAGGAGAAGAUGAAGGCAGCCUGCAGGCGAGCUUAUCCCUCAGUGACCUGACUAAAAGGCCAGCUCAGGGCCGAGGAAAUGGGAUUUCACAGGACCGGUCUUUCAUUGGCAGGGAUAUCUUCAUAGGCUGCAGGAAUGAGGCAGGCUGGUUGCUGGCCGAGGCCCGAGGCCUUUUGACUGAUAGCCCUGUCUUCAGUCUCCCCCGAUAAUAAGAAACCCAUUAUAAUUAGAGACCAGCCUAGUGAAGGGCUUAAAGAAUCCAGAGGUGAGAGGGAAGUCCGGUGGGAGAGUGAGGGGCCUCAGGUCCAUGUAGUGGGGUGAGGUGUUGAAGCCCAGGGACCCUGGCUUUGGGGUUUAUUUUUUCCUUCCUCAACAACUGCUAUAGUAGGCAACUGAAAAAAGUGACAACCUGGCGGCUCCUAGGUGUGGUUGAGGAGGAGGUUUAUUGCAGAUACGAGGGAGAGCAUAGCCAGAGGCAUCCAGAAGGGUCCAGACUCCGCUAGGCCAGCAUACCGACCUGGGCCAUGAGAGGAGAGGGGUGGGAGGAAAGAAAAA
Non-coding RNA from Rattus norvegicus (Norway rat), 6282 nucleotides. The record is from RefSeq and is a predicted model, not a curated record. NCBI's taxonomy places the organism in Eukaryota, Metazoa, Chordata, Mammalia, Rodentia, Muridae.